GCUGGCGGCAGGCCUAACACAUGCAAGUCGAGGGAGAAGCUGACUUCGGUCAGUGGGCACCGGCGCACGGGUGAGUAACGCGUGGAAACCUACCCCGGGGUGGGGGAUAACCGCUGGAAACGGCGGCUAAUACCGCAUACGCCUUUUAAGGGAAAGAUUUAUCGCCCUGGGAUGGGUCCGCGUUAGAUUAGGUAGUUGGUGGGGUAAAGGCCUACCAAGCCGACGAUCUAUAGCUGGUCUGAGAGGAUGAUCAGCCACACUGGGACUGAGACACGGCCCA
RNAcentral lists this ribosomal RNA (280 nucleotides) under uncultured bacterium. RNAcentral's name for it is "partial 16S ribosomal RNA". It matches the Rfam family "Bacterial small subunit ribosomal RNA", at positions 35 to 333 of the family's 1533-position model. The record is from RNAcentral.